Molecule: ribosomal RNA, 1528 nt
Filed under: Klebsiella pneumoniae
Lineage: Bacteria; Pseudomonadati; Pseudomonadota; Gammaproteobacteria; Enterobacterales; Enterobacteriaceae
Also listed under: 1 other name
Description: bacterial SSU rRNA
Rfam family: Bacterial small subunit ribosomal RNA
Source: RNAcentral
AGAGUUUGAUCAUGGCUCAGAUUGAACGCUGGCGGCAGGCCUAACACAUGCAAGUCGAGCGGUAGCACAGAGAGCUUGCUCUCGGGUGACGAGCGGCGGACGGGUGAGUAAUGUCUGGGAAACUGCCUGAUGGAGGGGGAUAACUACUGGAAACGGUAGCUAAUACCGCAUAACGUCGCAAGACCAAAGUGGGGGACCUUCGGGCCUCAUGCCAUCAGAUGUGCCCAGAUGGGAUUAGCUAGUAGGUGGGGUAACGGCUCACCUAGGCGACGAUCCCUAGCUGGUCUGAGAGGAUGACCAGCCACACUGGAACUGAGACACGGUCCAGACUCCUACGGGAGGCAGCAGUGGGGAAUAUUGCACAAUGGGCGCAAGCCUGAUGCAGCCAUGCCGCGUGUGUGAAGAAGGCCUUCGGGUUGUAAAGCACUUUCAGCGGGGAGGAAGGCGGUGAGGUUAAUAACCUCAUCGAUUGACGUUACCCGCAGAAGAAGCACCGGCUAACUCCGUGCCAGCAGCCGCGGUAAUACGGAGGGUGCAAGCGUUAAUCGGAAUUACUGGGCGUAAAGCGCACGCAGGCGGUCUGUCAAGUCGGAUGUGAAAUCCCCGGGCUUAACCUGGGAACUGCAUUCGAAACUGGCAGGCUAGAGUCUUGUAGAGGGGGGUAGAAUUCCAGGUGUAGCGGUGAAAUGCGUAGAGAUCUGGAGGAAUACCGGUGGCGAAGGCGGCCCCCUGGACAAAGACUGACGCUCAGGUGCGAAAGCGUGGGGAGCAAACAGGAUUAGAUACCCUGGUAGUCCACGCCGUAAACGAUGUCGAUUUGGAGGUUGUGCCCUUGAGGCGUGGCUUCCGGAGCUAACGCGUUAAAUCGACCGCCUGGGGAGUACGGCCGCAAGGUUAAAACUCAAAUGAAUUGACGGGGGCCCGCACAAGCGGUGGAGCAUGUGGUUUAAUUCGAUGCAACGCGAAGAACCUUACCUGGUCUUGACAUCCACAGAACUUUCCAGAGAUGGAUUGGUGCCUUCGGGAACUGUGAGACAGGUGCUGCAUGGCUGUCGUCAGCUCGUGUUGUGAAAUGUUGGGUUAAGUCCCGCAACGAGCGCAACCCUUAUCCUUUGUUGCCAGCGGUCCGGCCGGGAACUCAAAGGAGACUGCCAGUGAUAAACUGGAGGAAGGUGGGGUUGACGUCAAGUCAUCAUGGCCCUUACGACCAGGGCUACACACGUGCUACAAUGGCAUAUACAAAGAGAAGCGACCUCGCGAGAGCAAGCGGACCUCAUAAAGUAUGUCGUAGUCCGGAUUGGAGUCUGCAACUCGACUCCAUGAAGUCGGAAUCGCUAGUAAUCGUAGAUCAGAAUGCUACGGUGAAUACGUUCCCGGGCCUUGUACACACCGCCCGUCACACCAUGGGAGUGGGUUGCAAAAGAAGUAGGUAGCUUAACCUUCGGGAGGGCGCUUACCACUUUGUGAUUCAUGACUGGGGUGAAGUCGUAACAAGGUAACCGUAGGGGAACCUGCGGUUGGAUCACCU